RNAcentral lists this ribosomal RNA (1384 nucleotides) under uncultured bacterium. RNAcentral's name for it is "bacterial SSU rRNA". It matches the Rfam family "Bacterial small subunit ribosomal RNA". The record is from RNAcentral.
GAAUUCGCCCUUAGAGUUUGAUCCUGACUCAGGACGAACGCUGGCGGCGCGCCUAACACAUGCAAGUCGAACGGAACUUGAGAGAGCUUGCUUUUUCAAGUUUAGUGGCGAACGGGUGAGUAACGCGUGAGUAACCUGCCCUGGAGUGGGGGACAACAGUUGGAAACGACUGCUAAUACCGCAUAAGCCCACAGUGCCGCAUGGCACAGCGGGAAAAGGAUUUAUUCGCUUCAGGAUGGACUCGCGUCCAAUUAGCUAGUUGGUGAGGUAACGGCACACCAAGGCGACGAUUGGUAGCCGGACUGAGAGGUUGAACGGCCACAUUGGGACUGAGACACGGCCCAGACUCCUACGGGAGGCAGCAGUGGGGGAUAUUGCACAAUGGGGGAAACCCUGAUGCAGCGACGCCGCGUGGAGGAAGAAGGUUUUCGGAUUGUAAACUCCUGUCGUUAGGGACGAUAAUGACGGUACCUAACAAGAAAGCACCGGCUAACUACGUGCCAGCAGCCGCGGUAAAACGUAGGGUGCAAGCGUUGUCCGGAAUUACUGGGUGUAAAGGGAGCGCAGGCGGACCGGCAAGUUGGAAGUGAAAUCUAUGGGCUCAACCCAUAAAUUGCUUUCAAAACUGCUGGCCUUGAGUAGUGCAGAGGUAGGUGGAAUUCCCGGUGUAGCGGUGGAAUGCGUAGAUAUCGGGAGGAGCACCAGUGGCGAAGGCGGUCUACUGGGCACCAACUGACGCUGAGGCUCGAAAGCAUGGGUAGCAAACAGGAUUAGAUACCCUGGUAGUCCAUGCCGUAAAGGAUGAUUACUAGGGGUUGGAGGAUUGACCCCUUCAGUGCCGCAGUUAACACAAUAAGUAAUCCACCUGGGGAGUACGACCGCAAGGUUGAAACUCAAAGGAAUUGACGGGGGCCCGCACAAGCAGUGGAGUAUGUGGUUUAAUUCGAAGCAACGCGAAGAACCUUACCAGGUCUUGACAUCCGAUGCAUAGUGCAGAGAUGCAUGAAGUCCUUCGGGACAUCGAGACAGGUGGUGCAUGGUUGUCGUCAGCUCGUGUCGUGAGAUGUUGGGUUAAGUCCCGCAACGAGCGCAACCCCUAUUGUUAGUUGCUACGCAAGAGCACUCUAGCGAGACUGCCGUUGACAAAACGGAGGAAGGUGGGGACGACGUCAAAUCAUCAUGCCCCUUAUGUCCUGGGCUACACACGUAAUACAAUGGCGGUCAACAGAGGGAUGCAAAACCGUAAGGUGGAGCGAACCCCUAAAAGCCGUCUCAGUUCAGAUUGUGGGCUGCAACCCGCCCACAUGAAGUCGGAAUCGCUAGUAAUCGCGGAUCAGCAUGCCGCGGUGAAUACGUUCCCGGGCCUUGCACACACCGCCCGUCA